AUGAAGAAAGAGACUGAGGGUCUGAGAGACUGUAGAACUUGUGCAAGGUCUGGAAGGUGGGCAGCGUCAAAACUGGGCUUGGAGCCACAUCUCCAUCUCCUAACCCCAGACCUCUCUGGUUGUCUCCCCUUCUGCCCUGGAGGAAAUCCAGAGUCGGGGAGGAAGUGUUGGUGUUGGCAUCAUGCAAACUCUGUCCCACUCAUCCACGGCAGCAUGGUAGCCCCUGGACUCCGCCGGACACAGAGGCCGAGUGAAAGAUGCGAAGGCUCCUAGGAGACACCUGGCCACAGAGUGAAAGAAGGGGAGGAAACCGAGGGUAAGAUCUGGGGGGGAGUCCCUGCCUCAGCCCUACUCUGUGGCAGCUCUCAGGUGCAAAUCACAGCCCCCACUUUGUCCUGCCCCAAAGCAAGGAGGCUGGGGUUCCCCUUACCUCACCAAGGGUGAGGCCACAGGCUCCCCUGGGAAGGGGUGCAGGGACGGCUCUUCCUCAGGGCAGGAGGUGCUCCAGGAGCCCAAGUGGAGCCCUAGAGCACACAGCAGCUGGGGCAGGGGUGCAAAAGCUUGUUACCAGUCUGUGGUGGGAGCGUGGAGGGGCAUCAAUACUGCCCUCUAUGGUGUCCCCCUCCUGGUUUCCUCUGGGGACCCACUGCUCCCCCACCC
RNAcentral lists this long non-coding RNA (660 nucleotides) under Canis lupus familiaris (dog). RNAcentral's name for it is "lncRNA (ENSCAFG00030001914.1)". Lineage: Eukaryota; Metazoa; Chordata; Mammalia; Carnivora; Canidae. The record is from RNAcentral.